Molecule: ribosomal RNA, 254 nt
Filed under: uncultured bacterium
Lineage: Bacteria
Description: partial small subunit ribosomal RNA
Rfam family: Bacterial small subunit ribosomal RNA
Source: RNAcentral
AGGACGAACGCUGGCGGCGUGCUUAACACAUGCAAGUCACGGGGGCCCGCAAGGGCAACCGGCGAACGGGUGCGUAACACGUGAGCAAUCUGCCGAUUUCCGGGGGAUAGCCGGCCCAACGGCCGGGUAAUACCGCAUACGCUCAUUAAGGGGAGUCCCUUGAUGAGGAAACUUCCGGGGGAAAUCGAGGAGCUCGCGACCUAUCAGCUAGUUGGCGGGGUAACGGCUCACCAAGGCGACGACGGGUAGCUGGU